CCUACGGGAGGCAGCAGUGGGGAAUAUUGCACAAUGGGGGAAACCCUGAUGCAGCGACGCCGCGUGAAGGAAGAAGUAUUUCGGUAUGUAAACUUCUAUCAGCAAGGAAGAAAAUGACGGUACCUGACUCAGAAGCCCCGGCUAACUACGUGCCAGCAUCCGCGGUACUACGUAGGGGGCCAGCGUUAUCCGGAUUUACUGGGUGUAAAGGGAGCGUAGGCGGUUUAGCAAGUCAGAAGUGAAAGCCCGGGGCGCAACUGCGGAACUGCUUUUGAAACUGUUGAACUGGAAUGCAGGAGAGGUAGGCGGAAUUCCUAGUGUAGCGGUGAAAUGCGUAGAUAUUAGGAGGAACACCAGUGGCGAAGGCGGCUUACUGGACUGUAAAUGACGUUGAGGCUCGAAAGCGUGGGGAGCAAACAGGAUUAGAUACCCUUGUAGUC
This 440-nucleotide ribosomal RNA is filed under the name uncultured bacterium. RNAcentral's name for it is "partial 16S ribosomal RNA". It matches the Rfam family "Bacterial small subunit ribosomal RNA", at positions 338 to 795 of the family's 1533-position model. The record is from RNAcentral.